Molecule: ribosomal RNA, 254 nt
Filed under: uncultured bacterium
Lineage: Bacteria
Description: partial 16S ribosomal RNA
Rfam family: Bacterial small subunit ribosomal RNA
Source: RNAcentral
UACGUAGGGUGCGAGCGUUGUCCGGAAUUAUUGGGCGUAAAGAGCUCGUAGGCGGUGUGUCACGUCGUUCGUGAAAACCUGCAGCUUAACUGUGGGCGUGCGGUCGAUACGGGCAUCACUGGAGUUCGGCAGGGGAGACUGGAAUUCCUGGUGUAGCGGUGAAAUGCGCAGAUAUCGGGAGGAACACCGGUGGCGAAGGCGGUUCUCUGGGCCGAUACUGACGCUGAGGAGCGAAAGCGUGGGGAGCGAACAGG